AAAUUGAAGAGUUUGAUCAUGGCUCAGAUUGAACGCUGGCGGCAGGCCUAACACAUGCAAGUCGAACGGUAACAGGAAGCAGCUUGCUGCUUCGCUGACGAGUGGCGGACGGGUGAGUAAUGUCUGGGAAACUGCCUGAUGGAGGGGGAUAACUACUGGAAACGGUGGCUAAUACCGCAUAACGUCGCAAGACCAAAGAGGGGGACCU
RNAcentral lists this ribosomal RNA (208 nucleotides) under Salmonella enterica subsp. enterica serovar Infantis. RNAcentral's name for it is "partial 16S ribosomal RNA". It matches the Rfam family "Bacterial small subunit ribosomal RNA", at positions 1 to 215 of the family's 1533-position model. Lineage: Bacteria; Pseudomonadati; Pseudomonadota; Gammaproteobacteria; Enterobacterales; Enterobacteriaceae. RNAcentral also lists the same sequence under 14 other names. The record is from RNAcentral.